This is an RNA transcript of Dermacentor andersoni, 2657 nucleotides long. It is a transcript of the gene named post-GPI attachment to proteins factor 2-like, with no coding region annotated. The record is from RefSeq and is a predicted model, not a curated record. Lineage: Eukaryota; Metazoa; Arthropoda; Arachnida; Ixodida; Ixodidae.
UCCGCUGGUUCCGCAAUGUUGUCUGUGUAGCAGCGCCAAAAUUUUAGCCACAGAGGCCAACAUCUCCGCAAUAUGCCCGCUCUCAACAGUCCAUUCGCGGCACAGCAACUAAACCCAAGCGCUGGACUCGUCAAGCUAGCUGUUUAGCACGCGUGUGUUACUGGACAUUCCGAUGACACCGACAAUGGCACGGCCGGCGGAACUUCUCCGCAUACCGUUUCGGAUAUUAGCAGUGGUGACCGUGCUGCUUCCCUUCAGUUCGUUCGUCUUCUGUGUCCUGUGGUCGCUGCUUUACAACUUUUCUUCAGUCACGUCGACGCACUGUGGGGUGGCAAACUAUCUUCCAUCUGUCAGUGCAGCGAUAGGGGGCCACACACCACAGCGCUACAUUUGGCGCUUUGGGAUCGCCCUACAUUCUGCUCCUAGGAUUCUCAUCAGUGCUAUGUACCAUCGCUACUACCAGAACAUGCUUGACACCCAACAUCAGUAUGUUGCCCGAAUUGCCUUCUGGAUAAACGUUGCCGAGAUCCUCACACUGUUGGGCCUCUCCAAUGUCACAUCUACUGAAAAUUAUGCUAUCCAUGAAAAGAUGUUUGUAACAUUCAUAUUGUGCUCCCUUAUGUACAUGAUACUGUGCUGUGUUAUACCAAGUCUUGGUCGAAGACGUUCACUCUCAGGACUGGAAGCAUACUCCUUGAAGGUGAAGAAGCAACUGACUGCAAUGUCUGUCAUCCUUUCUCUUCUGUGUACCUUCUUUUUCAUUCGACAUACCACACACUGCGAACCAGGAAUGUACACCCUCUUUUCAGCAAGUGAAUACAUUGUGGUGAUAUGCAACAUGGGAUUCCAUAUGACUUCCUACUGGGACUUUGCAGACAAGGCGCUUUAUGUUUCAAACCUUCAGUGUGAAAGCACAGAGGACAAGGUCAGCUGAGUCACUGCGACAUAGUGUGCCGAUAUCUCUCUGAAAGAUGCCCUCGAUCCCAAUUAAGAGCGAGCUUGGCUCCGCUUGGAGUUCAGCGUGGUGCAAACACGUCAUCGACAUUUCCACAUUGAACGACUGCUGCCAUUGAAUCAAGAUGUUUGAUUGGUUGUGCCACAGAGAAAAAGAUCCUUGAACAGGAACAUCAGCAUUCCCCUAGCCUCGAUGUGCUGCGUGUCACUGGACAUCUGCACAUUUCCAGGAAACCAAAAAAUUGCCACUGAAACGUCCGGCGCUUUCUUUUCAGAUCUAAUUGUGUACUCGAAGACUCUACGACCAGAGGCUCUGACUUUGCAUACGUAAAUAAAACCCUUUAGGAUUGUCCUUUCCACUACGCCGAAGGCAAACCAGUUUUAAGCUAGGACUUCGUAUUUUACGAAACUGAGUAUAUACUGUGAUAUUUGAUAGUGCAGGAGCUGGGUUCCUGUACCCGUUUGUAAUUUCUGCUUUUGUAAAUGACCAAUCUGUUAUGGAAUCUUGCGCAAUAAAGCUAGUUUGUUUGCAAGUGGUUUAUUUCAUUUUGAUGUGAAAGCGUCAAAUGGCCCAUUGAGUGGAAAAACCAGCCUCUGUAGUCUGUAGCAGUAAAACAGCAUCUCAAUUCCCAUUGGCUGCACACCAUAUCGCAAGCAUGCCUCGACGGAGUUUCCAGUGGCUGUGACGCCAUGUCAUGAGCCCACCUCAAAGGAGCAGAGUGGGUGAAAGUGGACACCUGCUGCUAUAGCACGGCAGGUGUUGUGCGAGGGGAGAGCACAUCACCAGGAUGCCACAUCACCCUCACUCUCGGAAACCGGCGCAUGGUCUAUAUCUCUCUCACCCCCACUGGGCUUAGCUGCUUCCUCGGUCUUGUCACAUAGGACAUCAGUGGCAUGCGGCGUUCAGUUGGACAUUAAUGCUUUCACAUUCACAACUCGUAAGUGCUUAGGUGUCCUCGGAUGUUUUUUUUUUUUUACAUUAUGCAAGUAAUCUAAUCUUCAAAAAGUUCAAAGUGUCCAAUGACAUAUUUGGUAGCAGUGCACACUACCGAAUAUUGCAUGAAUAGGUGUGCACAUAUACAUAGUCUAUUUAGUAAACCACUGGCUUGUUCAUGUUCAAACUUUGUGGAGAGGUGGCACAUUGCAGCGCAUGCUGUUUAACAACACAUUUAAAUGCAUCGCCUGGUUUUUUCAUACACGAUCAACCAGAAGUGCAUAUCUCCUGCUGCAAUGCCAAACAAAUAAGGAUAGAACAAUGAAGCCAUCUCUUGCUCGAACCAUGAAACAUCCCUUGUGGCAAGUUUAGUCCCAACUGACAUAUGAUGCCACUAUCUUAUGCCAACCAGAGGCCUAGAUUGGGCCUUUGUUUCAGCAGAAUCGACAUUGUAAUGUAAUAAGCAUUCUUGGGAUACUUCACACAUCUGGUAUUUAUGUCUGUGCGCAUUUCUCUUCACUAAUUUAGGUUACUGGGUUGUCCAUGGUUUAACGGGCAAGAGCAUCGAGCUACUGUGGCGAGGGAACCAAGUAUGAAACCAGCUAUCGAACUAACUUGGGUCACUGGGUAUGAGACAUUAAGUAUGCAUCGCUUCAACGAACCUCUCGCACCAACUUGGGUUACUAGGCAUGUGCCACUCAUCAAUGAACCUCUGACCUCACUGGGUACGUGCAGCUUUUCAGUGACAAAAAAAGAAAAAGAAAAGAAA